Coccinella septempunctata (seven-spotted ladybird) is the source of this 618-nucleotide long non-coding RNA. RefSeq lists it as uncharacterized. NCBI's taxonomy places the organism in Eukaryota, Metazoa, Arthropoda, Insecta, Coleoptera, Coccinellidae. The record is from RefSeq and is a predicted model, not a curated record. The transcript has 2 exons.
UUAUAAUUAUCUUUCACUCUCUUUAAAAGGAUAUCGAUCUCGAUAUCGAUACAUAAAAGAAAUAAUUAUUCGUCAGUCGGUGAUUCUUCCUAUCGCUGAAGGUUGAGUUCACAUAGGAAUGAUGAGUUCACGAAUGAUAAUGCUUUUUCAACGGUCGCUAUGGUUACGCCAGCCUACUGAAAAUUCAACAAUGAAUCGAAAAGCAGGGAAAUGUAUUGAACGUUCCAUAAACAUAAAAACUAUUCUAUCAAUUAUUGAAUGUUAAUUUUAACGAUUUCAUUACGAUCCUGGCACAUCAAAUAAUGAUUAGAAUGAAAUUGAAAACGCUUUGAAUGUAUUUAAGGAACUUUUCCGAAUGAGUUUAUUCGUUAAUAGACAUGGAACUGAAACAGAUAGCAUACCUUAUCUUCGCACUCAUUGCAACAAAGUAUUAUUAUCAAGAAGGACCGUAUACUAUCAUGGAGGAUGAUUUAAUGGAACCACACAUAGUGGACCCCCCAUAUGUUUGAUCGCUCGUGUGCAAUCCAUGUAAUGCCGCUCUAUAAAUACUUAUGCUGAGUUUUGUCAAAAGAGGGCUCAUUAUGAUGGAAAAUAAAUAAAAAUUUAUUGAAGAUGAAA